Molecule: RNA transcript, 4110 nt
Organism: Magnolia sinica
Lineage: Eukaryota; Viridiplantae; Streptophyta; Magnoliopsida; Magnoliales; Magnoliaceae
Gene name: disease resistance protein RPM1-like
Exons: 5
Source: RefSeq, a predicted model, not a curated record
UGGAAAAAUCUGAAAAAUAUAUGUUUAGUCGCUGAAAUGUUUUGAUGUUUAGUUCGAUGCCAUCGAAGUGAUAUCGAAAUGUCAUCGAAUGAUCAUGAAGAGUUACGCAGAGUUGCGUAAGUGUGAAAUUUAUUUCUUAUUCCGAUUGUGAUUCUGAUAAAGGCUAUAUAUGUGUGUGUAAUUGGAAUUUGGAAAGAAUAUAGAGGAGUUCUAGGUUUUCUAAUUCAUUCCAAAGCAAUUUAAGGGCUUGUGAGGGAGAUUUGAGGCUAUUUAAAUAAGUAAUCUCUAUCUCUUAUAAUUUCUUCUUUCAUAUUGUAUUAUUGUCGUUUCGUGCAAUAGUUUUUUCCUGAAAGAGUUUUUCCACAUUAAAAUCGGAUUGUUUGUGUUUGAACUUGAAUAUGCGAUCAAAAUACUUUGCUUAAUUUAUCUUUGUGUGCUCCCGUAGUCGCCCAACAAUAAAUACAUGAAGAAAUGCACCGGCAGUCCAAAUUCAACGGAGAAAUGGAAGAAGAUUUGAUGGUAUGGAUAAAUCAACCAUCAGAUCUAUGGCUUAGAUAAAUGAACCAUGCAUUGGCCCCGCAUAAAAAGAUUAGGUGCCAAACAAGGAAGUUCCACGUUCCCAGCAAACAGGAAACUCAGCCUUAGUAUAAAAGUAAAAAAUCAAAAGCAUACCUAAUAUGUUGAUCACCGGCCUAAAUUGUGGUCAAAGAGGCUCAGGCAUCAGGCCAUGGCUGAUGAAUGGAUCUGAUCUUGUACAUGUGUACCAUAAGCCACAGGACAUCUCAUUCGAUACUGUGCAGCCGCCAUCACUCUUAAACAGUAUAGUCUAUCCCCCUCUAGUCAACAAAGACUUUGUUCAUGUACUUGCACUGAAUUGCUGCAGCAGCUGCUAAUUUCUGGUGCAUUUUCUCCUUCCUCUGAACAGCGCAAAGCUAGACAAAAAUCAGAGAAAUUCCGAUGACGGACAGUAUCGUUCAAUUCGGGUUAGAAACUCUAAGUGCCCUUCUAUCUCGAGAAGCAUCACUAAUAAGAGGAGUGCGCAAUGAAGUAGAAGAAAUCAAGCUGGAACUCGAAAGUAUGCAAGCUUUGUUGAAGGAUGCUGAUAAAAGAAAAGAAAGCAAUGAAGGAGUGAGAACCUGGGUGAGGCAAGUAAGAGAUUCCACAUAUGAUGUGGAAGACAUCAUCGACGAGUUCAUGUAUCGCAUGGACAGACCACAAGGAGGUGGGCUCCGUGGUUUUCUCCUUAACAUCGUUUGCCCCCUGAAGAAUAUCUACAACAAGCAUUGCUUCGCCAUCCGACUCCAAGAAACCAAGGUUAAGGUCCAUAACCUUUUCGAUAGAGGAGUUAGCUUCGGUCUCAAUCAAAUAGGAGAAGGAACCAGCUCUCAUGAUGUUAGCAAAAUGUGGCAACGUGAUGUAGAAACUUCUCUUUCCUUGGUGGAAGAUGACAUAGUGGGGAUGAAGAAAGAAUUAGAUUUGAUAGUCAGAUGGUUGGUGGAGGAAGAACAGCAGCGCACGGUGAUUUCAGUGACGGGUAUGGGUGGGGCGGGCAAGACCGUUCUUGUCACUAAAGCCUACAAGAACGAACUAGUAAAGAAGCACUUCGACUGCUCCGCAUGUGUUUCGGUCUCACAGACUCUUAGAAUCGAUGAAGUACUGCGAAGCAUCAUAAAACAAUUCCUUGAGUCUGCAAAGGACGUUGUUCCAAAUGACCUAGCCACCAGUGAUGCCGGUGACUUAAGGCAGAUGGUUAAAAGACAUCUCAAAUCGAAAAAGUGUCUGAUUGUCUUGGAUGAUAUCUGGAGUAUGAAUGAUUGGAAUGAACUAAGUGUCAUAUUUCCAGACUACAGAUGCGGAAGCAGGUUAGUAGUUACAACAAGAGACAGUGAUGUGGCUUUUGCAGCGGGAGAGGGAAGCCGUGUCUGCCACCUUCAGCCUCUACAUCCAAAAGAGGCAUGGCAGCUAUUCUGUAAGAAGGCAUUUCGGAACAAACCCUGCCCUUCAGAGCUGCAGCCAUUGGCUCUAUCCAUAGUAGAAACAUGUCUAGGUCUGCCUCUUGCAAUUAUUGCGAUGGGCAGCCUCCUGUCAUUGAGAGAUGCGAAUGUGUUGGAAUGGAACCGAGUCUAUAAUAACCUAAGUUGGCAGUUGAAUAACAAUGAAAAGCUUGAACCAAUAAAGCGCAUCUUGUUGCUUAGCUUCUACUAUCUGCCUUACCGCCUUAAGCAUUGUUUCUUGUACUGUUGUACGUUUCCAGAAGAUUAUUUAAUUCACCGCAAGAAGUUGAUAAGGUUAUGGGUGGCAGAGGGUUUCGUUGAAGAUGCAGGUAAAAUUCCGAUGGAGGAGAUGGCUGAAGACUACCUAAAGGAACUCAUCCAUCGUAACACACUUCAGGUUGUCAAGAUGAAUCUCUCUGGAAGGGUGAGUGCUUGUCGAAUGCAUGAUAUUGUACGUGAAUUGGCCUUAUCCUUAUGCGACGAAGAAAAGUUCAGCAUCACAUACGAUGGGCAGCAAACAAGGCAAGGGGGCAAAGUACGUCGCAUGUCAAUUUACAAUUCUGGAGAAACUAUUCAACAUAGCAUGAGCAUGUCACAGCUUCGCUCUCUUUUAGUGUUUGAAGGAAGCACAUCUUUCUCUUCUUCUCUUAAUACCAUAGCAUCAAGUUUCAUGUUAUUGAGGGUCCUAGAUUUAGAGGGAGUUCCUAUUGAAAGCUUAACAGAUGAAUUGACAAAUCUAUUCAAUUUACGGUAUCUUAACUUGAGGAAUACUAAUGUUAGCGAGCUUCCAAAAUCUUUAGGAAGGUUACAGAACCUGCAAACAUUGAAUGUUAGACAAACAAGGAUCAAGAGGCUACCGAGUGGGGUUGUGAAGCUACAGAAACUACGCCACUUAAUCGGUUAUCGAUAUAAUAGGGCAGAUCCAUGGACUUUCGAGCACUUCAGUAGCAUCCACGUUCCUAUAGGAAUAUGUAAUAUAACAAGUUUACAAAGUCUAACUAGUAUCGAAGCAAAAGAAGGGGAUUUUGUGAGAAAAAUUGGGAACUUAACCCAACUGAGAAAACUUGACAUUUCCAAGGUCAGAGCAAUCAACGGAGCUGAGUUGUGCACAUCCAUCGCAAAGCUGAAAUACGUUGUUGCCUUGGGUGUUAAGGCAAUCAACGAAGAAGAACCACUUCAAUUGGAAGAGCUCUCUCCUGAUCAUCUGCCACCUUUUCAGAAGCUUUACCUGUGGGGACGUUUGGAGAAGGUGCCUCAAUGGUUUAGGUACCUUGAGCAUCUCACCGUUUUGGGGUUGUAUUGGUCUAAGCUGAGAGAAGAAGAUCUGCUUUCAUCACUCCAAGCAUUGCCCAAUCUGGUGCGCCUUUCACUUCGAAAGGCCUUUGAAGGGCAGCAGUUGUGUUUUCACGAUGGAUGGUUCCCUAAACUCAAGAAUUUAUAUUUAAGGGACCUGACACAACUAAAUCGGGUAGUGAUAGAGAAGGGAACAUUGCCAAGCAUCCAAGAGCUAUCUGUGUACAGAUGUGGAGAGUUGAAGACGCUUCCAGAAGGGAUCGAAUACCUCACCAAACUCCGAGUUCUCAGGUUAUGCGACAUGCCAACAGAAUUGACAGAGAGGUUGCAGCUAAAAGAUGGAAACGAGGAGGACCGUAGAAAGGUGGGGCACAUUCCCUUCAUCUACGGUGGACGCUGGACAGAAGAGGGGUGGGAUUGGCAUCGACUCAACUAAUCAUCCAUCGAUUUAGGUUGUUGCUCAAACAUCCCAUCCCAAAAGUUGUGAGGAGAUUAGAAGGAUGAUGAACAUUACAGGAGCAAAAUAUCUGAGGUGGUGCUACAAUCACGGAGGAUGCGGAGAUGAAGUAUGCAUUCUCAGCCAUGGACUCAAGUGAGAGGCUACGGAGGUUGUUGAUGUCUACUUUGUGAAUUUUAGGUCUAUUUGGUGCUUUGUGUCUUAAACAUUGGGCAUGUAUUGUGUUCGUGAUAAGUGUGGUUUUAUGUACACAAAUGGAAUAAUGGUUAACACCCCCAGUGGGUUUUAUGUGUGGCAAUAUGCCUUACUCAAGAUAAUUGUUAUCUAGGCAUGAUUAUGUGUUAAUAAAUAUGGAUUUUUUUUGUU